This 501-nucleotide ribosomal RNA is filed under the name Triticum aestivum (bread wheat). RNAcentral describes it as "partial small subunit ribosomal RNA". The record is from RNAcentral. Lineage: Eukaryota; Viridiplantae; Streptophyta; Magnoliopsida; Poales; Poaceae.
AUGGAGCGCUGUUGGUUGGCGACGACGCACUUGACACAGUUGGUCGCUGCUGCCGGGAAGAAGAAGGGCAAAGGGGAUGGGGUCGCCGUCGGCCUCGCUAGGCACGGCUGCAGGCUGGUCCUGGUGGGCGACGAGGGCGCCCUGGCCGCGACAGUGGAGGAGGCGCGGCGCAGCGCGGCGGCCGUCAAGUUCCGCGGCAUGGAGGCGGACAUCAAGUUCGUCUUGGACGACUACAGGGAGGACAUCGGCAAGAUGAGUGUCUUAAGCAAGGAGGAGCUGGUGCAGGUGUUGCGGCGGCACGGUAGCUCCAGUUUCCGCGGUGUCACCCUGCACAAGUGCGGCAAGUGGGAGGCCACCCCGCCUUCGUGUGCCAUUGCCCGAGGCUUUACCGGUAGCGAAGAUGGGAAGGGUCACGACAUUAGGGGGUCUGCCGGCGGGGGGCUGUCAAACGUUUUUUUGCGCCGAUCAUUCCAAGUGCUCAAAGUUGCCCUCUUCUUUUAG